AGUGAACGCUGGCGGUAGGCCUAACACAUGCAAGUCGAACGGCAGCACAGUAAGAGCUUGCUCUUACGGGUGGCGAGUGGCGGACGGGUGAGGAAUACAUCGGCAUCUACUUUUUCGUGGGGGAUAACGUAGGGAAACUUACGCUACUACCGCAUACGACCUACGGGUGAAAGCAGGGGAUCUUCGGACCUUGCGCGAUUGAAUUAGCCGAUGUCGGAUUAGCUAGUUGGCGGGGUAAAGGCCCACCAAGGCGACGAUCCGUAGCUGGUCUGAGAGGAUGAUCAGCCACACUGGAACUGAGACACGGUCCAGACUCCUACGGGAGGCAGCAGUGGGGAAUAUUGGACAAUGGGCGCAAGCCUGAUCCAGCCAUACCGCGUGGGUGAAGAAGGCCUUCGGGUUGUAAAGCCCUGUUGUUGGGAAAGAAAAGCAGCAGGUGAAUACCCCGCUGUUCUGACGGUACCCAAAGAAUAAGCACCGGCUAACUUCGUG
RNAcentral lists this ribosomal RNA (492 nucleotides) under uncultured bacterium. Its description in RNAcentral is "partial 16S ribosomal RNA". It matches the Rfam family "Bacterial small subunit ribosomal RNA", at positions 29 to 507 of the family's 1533-position model. The record is from RNAcentral.